CCCUUAGAUGUUCUGGGCCGCACGCGCGCUACACUGAUGCAUUCAACGAGUCUAAAACCUGGUCUGAUAGGGCUGGGUAAUCUUUUGAAUGUGCAUCGUGAUUGGGAUAGAUGAUUGCAAUUCUUCAUCUUCAACGAGGAAUGCCUAGUAAACGCAAGUCAUCAGCUUGCAUUGAUUACGUCCCUGCCCUUUGUACACACCGCCCGUCGCUCCUACCGAUUGAAUGUUCCGAUGAAUACCAUGGACUGAGAGUAUGAAUGGGUUCGCCUAUUUCUGCUUCUCGGGAAGUGGAGUAAAUCUUAACAUUUAGAGGAAGGAGAAGUCGUAAUA
RNAcentral lists this ribosomal RNA (330 nucleotides) under uncultured eukaryote. Its description in RNAcentral is "partial 18S ribosomal RNA". It matches the Rfam family "Eukaryotic small subunit ribosomal RNA", at positions 1470 to 1796 of the family's 1831-position model. The record is from RNAcentral.